GUCUGAGUGGCUCAGCCGGUUAAGCGUCUGACUUCGGCUCAGGUCACGAUCUCAUGGUUCGUGGGUUUGAGCCCUGCCUCUGGCU
This 85-nucleotide transfer RNA is filed under the name Felis catus (domestic cat). It matches the Rfam family "tRNA". From Rfam's summary of the family: Transfer RNA (tRNA) molecules are approximately 80 nucleotides in length. Lineage: Eukaryota; Metazoa; Chordata; Mammalia; Carnivora; Felidae. The record is from Rfam by way of RNAcentral.